UACGAAGGGGGCUAGCGUUGCUCGGAAUUACUGGGCGUAAAGGGCGCGUAGGCGGACAGUUUAGUCAGAGGUGAAAGCCCAGGGCUCAACCUUGGAAUUGCCUUUGAUACUGGCUGUCUUGAGUUCGGGAGAGGUGAGUGGAAUUCCUAGUGUAGAGGUGAAAUUCGUAGAUAUUAGGAAGAACACCAGUGGCGAAGGCGGCUCACUGGCCCGGUACUGACGCUGAGGCGCGAAAGCGUGGGGAGCAAACAGG
RNAcentral lists this ribosomal RNA (253 nucleotides) under uncultured bacterium. RNAcentral's name for it is "partial 16S ribosomal RNA". It matches the Rfam family "Bacterial small subunit ribosomal RNA", at positions 524 to 776 of the family's 1533-position model. The record is from RNAcentral.